RNAcentral lists this ribosomal RNA (490 nucleotides) under uncultured bacterium. RNAcentral's name for it is "partial 16S ribosomal RNA". It matches the Rfam family "Bacterial small subunit ribosomal RNA", at positions 28 to 507 of the family's 1533-position model. The record is from RNAcentral.
GAUGAACGCUAGCUACAGGCUUAACACAUGCAAGUCGCGGGGCAGCAUGGGGGUUGCUUGCAAUCCCCGAUGGCGACCGGCGCACGGGUGAGUAACGCGUAUCCAACCUGCCCUUCACCACGGGAUAACCCGGCGAAAGUCGGACUAAUACCGUAUGUUGUCCAUUGACGGCAUCCGAUUUGGACGAAAGGUUUGGCGGGGAAGGAUGGGGAUGCGUCCGAUUAGCUGGACGGCGGGGUGACGGCCCACCGUGGCGGCGAUCGGUAGGGGUUCUGAGAGGAAGGUCCCCCACACUGGAACUGAGACACGGUCCAGACUCCUACGGGAGGCAGCAGUGAGGAAUAUUGGUCAAUGGGCGUAAGCCUGAACCAGCCAAGUAGCGUGCAGGAUGACGGCCCUAUGGGUUGUAAACUGCUUUUAUGCGGGGAUAAAGUGGCCCACGUGUGGGUUUUUGCAGGUACCGCAUGAAUAAGGACCGGCUAAUUCCGUG